This is a non-coding RNA of Pelobates cultripes (western spadefoot toad), 846 nucleotides long. The record is from the annotation of a GenBank genome assembly. Lineage: Eukaryota; Metazoa; Chordata; Amphibia; Anura; Pelobatidae.
AACGAUUCCUGAACUCACCUAAGCUACUCUAGAGCACCUCGGGCAUCUGUUGGUACACUCUGACAGCGAAGUUUUGAGCCCGAGUUCCAGUCUCUGCUGGGAGUGACGGCCGACCUUAGUGGAUUCCCGCAGGCUGAGUUGAGUCUGAAACCUGUUCCCCCCCUUUGGACUGGUUGGGGUCAUCCCAGUCCACACUGUGCAUCCCACAACUCUGAGGACAUACCUAGUCUCUCUCGUUUCACCUCUGUGAAUAAAAUGGCAGAGGUCCUCCUUCCUGGGCUUACACUGACACCGACCACGCAGACUCGAAGUAACGCUGUUGAGACUUGCCUGUGGAGACUGGAGAUCCACUUCCAAAACUUCUGGGCAGACCUUGAGGCUCCCAUGGCCAAGUACACAAGCUGGAGAUCAGGGGACUCGAGUGCGAUGGAAAGGUAGACUCCUCAUGGGCACUGCUCUACCUCAAGCAGACGCUCUGCCCCCUACUUACCUUUUCAGGCCGCAGGCCACCAGGGGUUACCCCCCAGCACACUGACAUCACAAGCAGAAAACUCAUAGACAGCGAUCAAAGCCGGCAGCAACCCACCACUCUCCCAAGCAGGGAAACUACUUGGAAUACUCAAGACUCCGAGCCAGCGUGCGGAGGCUAUGGUCCUGCAAGAAAAUCCAAGGAGCAUUGCCUCAAACCUCCUGCAGAGGAAUGGAAGCUGCAUUGCAGUGCCCACGAGCUGACCCACUGCACAACAGCACUCCACAGACGUUGCACCUCCAACUCAGGCUGAUACCCCAGAGUGGGCAUAGGCUGACUGAUAUGAACUGUUACAGGGACUUGCACUACUCAGUAAU